CCUACGGGAGACAGCAGUGAGGAAUAUUGGUCAAUGGCCGGAAGGCUGAACCAGCCAAGUCGCGUGAGGGACGACUGCCCUAGGGGGUGUAAACCUCGUUUAUAAGGGAAGAAGAAAUGCGACGUGUAGCAUGAUGCCUGUACCUUAUGAAUAAGCAUCGGCUAACUCCGUGCCAGCAGCCGCGGUAAGACGGAGGAUGCGAGCGUUAUCCGGAUUUAUUGGGUUUAAAGGGUGCGUAGGCUGUUUUUUAAGUUAGUGGUUAAACGUCGGGGCUUCACCUUGAUUUGCCAUUCAUACUGUAAGACUCGAGUUCAGCCUCGGUAGGCGGAAUCAGUUCCGUAGCCGUG
RNAcentral lists this ribosomal RNA (347 nucleotides) under uncultured bacterium. RNAcentral describes it as "partial 16S ribosomal RNA". It matches the Rfam family "Bacterial small subunit ribosomal RNA", at positions 338 to 683 of the family's 1533-position model. The record is from RNAcentral.